RNAcentral lists this RNase P RNA (379 nucleotides) under human oral metagenome. RNAcentral's name for it is "Bacterial RNase P class A". It matches the Rfam family "Bacterial RNase P class A". Rfam says of the family: Ribonuclease P (RNase P) is a ubiquitous endoribonuclease, found in archaea, bacteria and eukarya as well as chloroplasts and mitochondria. The record is from RNAcentral.
GGACAGUUCGUCGCCCGCAUUCGUGUGAUGCGUGAGGAAAGUCCGGGCAGCACAGGGCAUUCCGCUUCUUAAUGGGAAGUCGUCUGUGAAGGCGAACUCGUGCAGAAGAAAAUAACCGCCGGCGCAAGGUUUCGCACCGCACGCCGGUAAGGGUGAGAAGGUGGGGUAAGAGCCCACCGGUUGCCGUGGUGACACGGCAAGCCGUGCACUUCGGAAGCUGAAAGUUCAUGUAAACCGACGUUGGAGGGCGGCUCGUUCGAUUCUCUUCGGAGAAACGUCGGAGGGUAGAACGAUAGAAUGUGUCGGCGACGGCACAUCCAGAUAAAUGACGAACACUUUGCACCGCAAAGCACAAAACCCGGCUCAUCGGCCGACUGUU